UACGUAGGGUGCAAGCGUUAAUCGGAAUUACUGGGCGUAAAGCGUGCGCAGGCGGUGAUGUAAGACAGUUGUGAAAUCCCCGGGCUCAACCUGGGAACUGCAUCUGUGACUGCAUCGCUGGAGUACGGUAGAGGGGGAUGGAAUUCCGCGUGUAGCAGUGAAAUGCGUAGAUAUCAGGAAGAACACCCGUGGCGAAGGCGGCUCUCUGGGACGGUACUGACGCUGAGACGCGAAAGCGUGGGGAGCGAACAGG
RNAcentral lists this ribosomal RNA (253 nucleotides) under uncultured prokaryote. RNAcentral describes it as "partial 16S ribosomal RNA". It matches the Rfam family "Bacterial small subunit ribosomal RNA", at positions 524 to 776 of the family's 1533-position model. The record is from RNAcentral.